UUUUAUUUCCAUCAGCUGAUGAUGGAUUGAUCGGUAACAUAGCCUCAGGCGCUUCAAUUUUCUCUGGAAUGGUUGUCGAGUCCGCUUCACAUACGCCUGUUUCAGAAGCUGGCUCAGGAUCCGUCGCUAAGGUUUCAGAAGCUGGCUCAGGAUCCGUCGCUAAGGUUUCAGACAACCCAGUUACUUCUUCUGCUUCAGCCACCAGCUGUCCAUCUGUGGUGUUCUUGAGACUCGUAAGAUGUUCCUCGGAAGAAGCAGGACAAACCUUCUCCGCAUUCGAAUCAGA
This 286-nucleotide long non-coding RNA is filed under the name Brassica napus (rape). RNAcentral describes it as "long non-coding RNA (BNAP_LNC003864)". The record is from RNAcentral. Lineage: Eukaryota; Viridiplantae; Streptophyta; Magnoliopsida; Brassicales; Brassicaceae.